GGUUAAGCGACUAAGCGUACACGGUGGAUGCCCUGGCAGUCAGAGGCGAUGAAGGACGUGCUAAUCUGCGAUAAGCGUCGGUAAGGUGAUAUGAACCGUUAUAACCGGCGAUUUCCGAAUGGGGAAACCCAGUGUGAUUCGUCACACUAUCAUUAACUGAAUCCAUAGGUUAAUGAGGCGAACCGGGGGAACUGAAACAUCUAAGUACCCCGAGGAAAAGAAAUCAACCGAGAUUCCCCCAGUAGCGGCGAGCGAACGGGGAGCAGCCCAGAGCCUGAAUCAGUGUGUGUGUUAGUGGAAGCGUCUGGAAAGGCGCGCGAUACAGGGUGACAGCCCCGUACACAAAAAUGCACAUGCUGUGAGCUCGAUGAGUAGGGCGGGACACGUGGUAUCCUGUCUGAAUAUGGGGGGACCAUCCUCCAAGGCUAAAUACUCCUGACUGACCGAUAGUGAACCAGUACCGUGAGGGAAAGGCGAAAAGAACCCCGGCGAGGGGAGUGAAAAAGAACCUGAAACCGUGUACGUACAAGCAGUGGGAGCACGCUUAGGCGUGUGACUGCGUACCUUUUGUAUAAUGGGUCAGCGACUUAUAUUCUGUAGCAAGGUUAACCGAAUAGGGGAGCCGAAGGGAAACCGAGUCUUAACUGGGCGUUAAGUUGCAGGGUAUAGACCCGAAACCCGGUGAUCUAGCCAUGGGCAGGUUGAAGGUUGGGUAACACUAACUGGAGGACCGAACCGACUAAUGUUGAAAAAUUAGCGGAUGACUUGUGGCUGGGGGUGAAAGGCCAAUCAAACCGGGAGAUAGCUGGUUCUCCCCGAAAGCUAUUUAGGUAGCGCCUCGUGAAUUCAUCUCCGGGGGUAGAGCACUGUUUCGGCAAGGGGGUCAUCCCGACUUACCAACCCGAUGCAAACUGCGAAUACCGGAGAAUGUUAUCACGGGAGACACACGGCGGGUGCUAACGUCCGUCGUGAAGAGGGAAACAACCCAGACCGCCAGCUAAGGUCCCAAAGUCAUGGUUAAGUGGGAAACGAUGUGGGAAGGCCCAGACAGCCAGGAUGUUGGCUUAGAAGCAGCCAUCAUUUAAAGAAAGCGUAAUAGCUCACUGGUCGAGUCGGCCUGCGCGGAAGAUGUAACGGGGCUAAACCAUGCACCGAAGCUGCGGCAGCGACGCUUAUGCGUUGUUGGGUAGGGGAGCGUUCUGUAAGCCUGUGAAGGUGUACUGUGA
RNAcentral lists this ribosomal RNA (1226 nucleotides) under Escherichia coli. RNAcentral describes it as "partial 23S ribosomal RNA". It matches the Rfam family "Bacterial large subunit ribosomal RNA", at positions 1 to 1266 of the family's 2925-position model. The record is from RNAcentral. Lineage: Bacteria; Pseudomonadati; Pseudomonadota; Gammaproteobacteria; Enterobacterales; Enterobacteriaceae.